Long non-coding RNA from Portunus trituberculatus (swimming crab), 278 nucleotides. RefSeq lists it as uncharacterized. The record is from RefSeq and is a predicted model, not a curated record. The transcript has 2 exons. NCBI's taxonomy places the organism in Eukaryota, Metazoa, Arthropoda, Malacostraca, Decapoda, Portunidae.
CACACAGCCUUAAAUGCUCAAAACACACCCAUAUAGACACAAAAACACUCGUGAACGCACUCAAACACACACAGAAUCCAGCUAAAUACACACACACACACACACACACACAAUGAAGUGAAGUGUUACCAUAUUCCCAGGCAGUUUUUAGCAGCACAAGCGGCAAGACAAGAGUGAACCAGCAGUGCAAGGCAAGCCACCAUGACCUGCAGCCUUCACCACACCCCUCCUUCACUUACUCAAGGCUCAGACGUCAAGACGGAAGCAACAGAAGGAAG